ACCCAGCUGACCAGUCCCAAAUAGGACGAAACGCGCGUCCUGGUAU
Non-coding RNA from Schistosoma rodhaini, 46 nucleotides. Lineage: Eukaryota; Metazoa; Platyhelminthes; Trematoda; Strigeidida; Schistosomatidae. The record is from Rfam.